AUCUUCGGCCAUGCUACCCUGAACAAGCCCAAUCCCGUUUGAUCUUGGAAGCUAAGCAGGGUCGGGCCUGGUUAGUACUUGGAUGGGAGACCACUUAGGAAGACCAGGUGCUGUAGGCG
Molecule: ribosomal RNA, 119 nt
Filed under: Pteropus alecto (black flying fox)
Lineage: Eukaryota; Metazoa; Chordata; Mammalia; Chiroptera; Pteropodidae
Source: RNAcentral